UACGGAGGGGACUAGCGUUGUUCGGAUUUACUGGGCGUAAAGGGUGCGUAGGCGGCCUAGUAAGUUAGAAGUGAAAGCCUGGGGCUCAACCCCAGAACUGCUUCUAAAACUAUUAGGCUAGAGUAUGGGAGAGGAUAGUGGAAUUCCUAGUGUAGAGGUGAAAUUCUUAGAUAUUAGGAGGAACACCGGUGGCGAAGCGACUUCUGACCAAUACUGACGCUGAGGUGCGAAAGCGUGGGGAGCAAACAGGAUUAGAUACCCCGUAGUCC
RNAcentral lists this ribosomal RNA (269 nucleotides) under uncultured bacterium. RNAcentral's name for it is "partial 16S ribosomal RNA". It matches the Rfam family "Bacterial small subunit ribosomal RNA", at positions 524 to 796 of the family's 1533-position model. The record is from RNAcentral.